RNAcentral lists this ribosomal RNA (497 nucleotides) under uncultured bacterium. RNAcentral's name for it is "partial 16S ribosomal RNA". It matches the Rfam family "Bacterial small subunit ribosomal RNA", at positions 28 to 507 of the family's 1533-position model. The record is from RNAcentral.
GACGAACGCUGGCGGCGUGCCUAAUACAUGCAAGUUGAGCGAUGAAGAUUGGUGCUUGCCCCAAUUUGAAGAGCAGCGAACGGGUGAGUAACGCGUGGGGAAUCUGCCUUUGAGCGGGGGACAACAUUUGGAAACGAAUGCUAAUACCGCAUAACAACUUUAAACAUAAGUUUUAAGUUUGAAAGAUGCAAUUGCAUCACUCAAAGAUGAUCCCGCGUUGUAUUAGCUAGUUGGUGAGGUAAAGGCUCACCAAGGCGAUGAUACAUAGCCGACCUGAGAGGGGGAUCGGCCACAUUGGGACUGAGACACGGCCCAAACUCCUACGGGAGGCAGCAGUAGGGAAUCUUCGGCAAUGGACGAAAGUCUGACCGAGCAACGCCGGGUGAGGGAAGGAGGUUUUCGGAUCGUAAAACUCUGUUGGUAGAGAAGAACGUUGGUGAGAGUGGAAAGCUCAUCAAGUGACGGUAACUACCCAGAAAGGGACGGCUAACUACGUG